This 431-nucleotide ribosomal RNA is filed under the name uncultured Hyphomicrobiales bacterium. Its description in RNAcentral is "bacterial SSU rRNA". It matches the Rfam family "Bacterial small subunit ribosomal RNA", at positions 29 to 505 of the family's 1533-position model. The record is from RNAcentral. Lineage: Bacteria; Pseudomonadati; Pseudomonadota; Alphaproteobacteria; Hyphomicrobiales.
AACGAACGCUGGCGGCAGGCCUAACACAUGCAAGUCGAACGCCCUCUUCGGAGGGAGUGGCAGACGGGUGAGUAACGCGUGGGAACCUACCCAGUAGUACGGAACAACACAGAGAAAUUUGUGCUAAUACCGUAUACGCCCCCCGGGGGAAAGAUUUAUCGCUAUUGGAUGGGCCCGCGUUGGAUUAGCUAGUUGGUGAGGUAACGGCUCACCAAGGCGACGAUCCAUAGCUGGUCUGAGAGGAUGAUCAGCCACACUGGGACUGAGACACGGCCCAGACUCCUACGGGAGGCAGCAGUGGGGAAUAUUGGACAAUGGGCGCAAGCCUGAUCCAGCCAUGCCGCGUGAGUGAUGACGGCCCUAGGGUUGUAAAGCUCUUUCAACGGUGAAGAUAAUGACGGUAGCCGUAGAAGAAGCCCCGGCUAACUUCG